UCCGGUUUGGCACCGGCAGUCUCCCUAGAGUGCCCGGCGUGACCCGCUGGUAACUAGGGACGGGGGUUGCGCUCGUUGCGGGACUUAACCCAACAUCUCACGACACGAGCUGACGACAGCCAUGCAGCACCUGUGCUGAGGCUCCGAAGAGGGCCCCCCGUUUCUGGGGGGUUUCCUCAGCAUGUCAAGCCCAGGUAAGGUUCUUCGCGUUGCGUCGAAUUGAACCACAUGCUCCGCUGCUUGUGCGGGUCCCCGUCAAUUCCUUUGAGUUUUAGCCUUGCGGCCGUACUCCCCAGGCGGGGCACUUAAUGCGUUAGCUGCGGCACGGGAGGAGUCGACACCUCCCACACCUAGUGCCCAUCGUUUACAGCGUGGACUAC
Molecule: unclassified non-coding RNA, 380 nt
Filed under: uncultured bacterium
Lineage: Bacteria
Description: contains 16S-23S intergenic spacer region
Source: RNAcentral